GUGGGGAAUCUUCCGCAAUGGACGAAAGUCUGACGGAGCGACGCCGCGUGAGUGAAGAAGGCCUUCGGGUCGUAAAGCUCUGUCAUCAGGGACGAACGGCCGGUGGAGUGGAAAGCCACCGGAUUGACGGUACCUGAGAAGGAAGCCACGGCUAACUACGUGCCAGCAGCCGCGGUAAUACGUAGGUGGCAAGCGUUGUCCGGAAUUAUUGGGCGUAAAGCGCGCGCAGGUGGGAUCUUAAGUCCAUUUUUAAAGUUCGGAGCUCAACUCCGUGAUGGGAUGGAAACUGGGAUUCUUGAGUACCGGAGAGGAAAGCGGAAUUCCCCGUGUAGCGGUGAAAUGCGUAGAUAUGGGGAGGAACACCAGUGGCGAAGGCGGCUUUCUGGACGAAAACUGACGCUGAGGCGCGAAAGCCAGGGGAGCGAACGGGAUUAGAAACCCUGGUAGUCC
RNAcentral lists this ribosomal RNA (450 nucleotides) under uncultured bacterium. Its description in RNAcentral is "partial 16S ribosomal RNA". It matches the Rfam family "Bacterial small subunit ribosomal RNA", at positions 354 to 796 of the family's 1533-position model. The record is from RNAcentral.